This 148-nucleotide signal recognition particle RNA is filed under the name Homo sapiens (human). RNAcentral's name for it is "Metazoan signal recognition particle RNA". It matches the Rfam family "Metazoan signal recognition particle RNA". From Rfam's summary of the family: The signal recognition particle (SRP) is a universally conserved ribonucleoprotein. It is involved in the co-translational targeting of proteins to membranes. The record is from Rfam by way of RNAcentral. Lineage: Eukaryota; Metazoa; Chordata; Mammalia; Primates; Hominidae.
GCCAGGCGUGGUGGUGCACGCCUGUAAUCCCAGCUACUCAGGGGGCUGAGACGGAAGAAUUGCUUGAACCCAGGAGGCAUAGGUUGCAGUGAGCCAAGAUCACACCACUGCACUCCAUCCUGGGAGACACAGUAAGACUCUGUCUCAA